AUGAUGGGCCAGUCCAUUCCGUCCAUGUACAGACAUCUCGUCCCAGAAGAACAGGUUCAACAGGGGGCGGGGCCAGCCGAAGAACCUGUGGCCAACCACGAGCUCCAGAACACCACCAACAUGAGCUGUGCCAUCUGUCUGAUGGACUACGUGGUUG
Thalassophryne amazonica is the source of this 157-nucleotide long non-coding RNA. RefSeq lists it as uncharacterized. NCBI's taxonomy places the organism in Eukaryota, Metazoa, Chordata, Actinopteri, Batrachoidiformes, Batrachoididae. The transcript is spliced from 3 exons. The record is from RefSeq and is a predicted model, not a curated record.